Non-coding RNA from Gymnopus androsaceus JB14, 78 nucleotides. The record is from the annotation of a GenBank genome assembly. Lineage: Eukaryota; Fungi; Basidiomycota; Agaricomycetes; Agaricales; Omphalotaceae.
UCCUUCUUAGCUCAGUUGGUAGAGCGCAUCUUCAGUAUACUUAUGACGAGGCCAGUCGUUCAACUCGGCUAGAAGGAU